UAAAGCAUGAAAAAAUAUCGUAUUAAAAAAUUUCCAGAUAAAUGCAACAUUUUAGGUUUAAGUUAUCGCAGUAUUAGCAUUUUAAUAUCAUUGAUAUUGCUGGCGCAAAAUGUCUGCUUCAUUUUAACAUUUUCCAUUAAAGCAAAAAUAUCCUGCAACAUUUUCACGAACGGCCUCUAUAGUCUGGUCAUACAAUUUGGAGAUGAUUAUUGGUCUUUAGCUGGCUUAUUGAUAGCAUUAUUAAGUCUGGCCACCAAUGCCUCUUUGCUAUGGGGUUCCAUAAGGCAUGUUAAAAGUUUAAUAUUGCUGUGGUAUGUUGGUGGCAUUGUACAAUUCGUGUAUUUGCUAAGUUUACAAAGUUUCUGUUUAUCUACAAAAUCUUGUAAUAAUCAUUGCAAAAUGGAUAGGGAAACCAGAAAUUAUUAUCACUGGGGAUUUGGUUGGUGUUUGUUCAUAACUUUAUAUUUUUACAUCACUUUCAUAUUUAAAAUCCAUCUAUUCUACGCGUAUGUCAAGUAUCUGCAACGGCCACGCCUCACAACCGUUCCAAGAGAUGAAAUCUAUUUACGCCCAUCGUAUUUUGGAAGAUUAUCAAAUGUGAAUAAAUAAAUUUGUAAAUAUUAAGAAAAUAUUCAAAAUAAAUUAAAAUCUACAGUUAAAGGUAUUU
Calliphora vicina (urban bluebottle blowfly) is the source of this 667-nucleotide long non-coding RNA. RefSeq lists it as uncharacterized. NCBI's taxonomy places the organism in Eukaryota, Metazoa, Arthropoda, Insecta, Diptera, Calliphoridae. The transcript is spliced from 4 exons. The record is from RefSeq and is a predicted model, not a curated record.